UCCCCUGCUAUGUUAAUAGCUUGCUAGACCAUGCAAGAGCCUCCUGUAUGUGAUUAAAGUUCAAUUUAGAGAUUGAGAUACAAUUAUUUAAGGUAAAUUACAUCUGUUUGAAAGUGAAACCAGUUUUUUUUCAUGCAGGCUCUGUCAAUCAUAGCCAGGGGAGGUGUGGCUAGGGCUGCAUAAACAGAAACAAAGUGAUUUAACUC
Pelobates cultripes (western spadefoot toad) is the source of this 206-nucleotide non-coding RNA. NCBI's taxonomy places the organism in Eukaryota, Metazoa, Chordata, Amphibia, Anura, Pelobatidae. The record is from the annotation of a GenBank genome assembly.